Molecule: ribosomal RNA, 1404 nt
Filed under: uncultured bacterium
Lineage: Bacteria
Description: bacterial SSU rRNA
Rfam family: Bacterial small subunit ribosomal RNA
Source: RNAcentral
AGAGUUUGAUCCUGGCUCAGGAAGAACCCUUUCGAGAGGCUUAACACAUGCAAGUCGAGGGGCAGCGCAAAGAUUAGCUUGCUAAUUUUGGCGGCGACCGGCGGAUGGGUGAGUAACACGUAUGCAACCUACCUUUAACACGGGCAUAACCCGGAGAAAUCCGGACUAAUUCCCGAUAAUACGGGGGCUCCGCAUGGAGAUAUUUGUUAAAGAUUUAUUGGUUAAAGAUGGGCAUGCUCUCCAUUAGUUAGUUGGUGAGGUAACGGCUCACCAAGGCAUCGAUGGAUAGGGGUUCUGAGAGGAAGGCCCCCCACAUUGGAACUGCGACACGGUCCAAACUCCUACGGGAGGCAGCAGUGAGGAAUAUUGGUCAAUGGCCGGAAGGCUGAACCAGCCAAGUAGCGUGCAGGAUGACUGCCUUAUGGGUUGUAAACUGCUUUUUUACGGGAAUAAUUAUGAUCACGUGUGAUUAUUUGCAUGUACCGUAAGAAUAAGGAUCGGCUAACUCCGUGCCAGCAGCCGCGGUAAUACGGAGGAUCCUAGUGUUAUCCGGAUUUAUUGGGUUUAAAGGGAGCGUAGGCGGGAGGUCAAGUCAGCUGUGAAAUGUAUCUGCUUAACGGGUACACUGCAGUUGAAACUGGUUUUCUUGAGUGCGUAAGAGGCAGGCGGAAUUCGUUGUGUAGCGGUGAAAUGCUUAGAUAUGACGAGGAACUCCUAUUGCGAAGGCAGCUUGCUGGGUCGUUACUGACGCUGAUGCUCGAAGGUGCGGGGAUCAAACAGGAUUAGAUACCCUGGUAGUCCGCACAGUAAACUAUGGAUACUCUCUGCCGGCGACACAUUGUCGGUGGCUAAGCGAAAGCGUUAAGUAUCCCACCUGGGGAGUACGUUCGCAAGAAUGAAACUCAAAGGAAUUGACGGGGGCCCGCACAAGCGGAGGAACAUGUGGUUUAAUUCGAUGAUACGCGAGGAACCUUACCCGGGUUUGAAUUGCUGAUGGCGAUAAUUGGAGACAGUUAUUUCCCUUCGGGGCGUCAGUGAAGGUGCUGCAUGGUUGUCGUCAGCUCGUGCCGUGAGGUGUCGGCUUAAGUGCCAUAACGAGCGCAACCCUUGCCGUUAGUUGCCAUCGGGUCAUGCCGGGCACUCUAUUGGGACUGCCAUCGUAAGAUGUGAGGAAGGUGGGGAUGACGUCAAAUCAGCACAGCCCUUAUGUCCGGGGCGACACACGUGUUACAAUGGGGGGUACAGUGGGAAGCUACCUGGCGACAGGUUGCGGAUCCCCAAAUCCUUUCUCAGUUCGGAUCGGAGUCUGUAACUCGACUCCGUGAAGUUGGAUUCGCUAGUAAUCGCGCAUCAGCCAUGGCGCGGUGAAUACGUUCCCGGGCCUUGCACACACCGCCCGUCAAG